This 424-nucleotide ribosomal RNA is filed under the name Verrucomicrobiota bacterium. RNAcentral's name for it is "Verrucomicrobia bacterium partial 16S ribosomal RNA". It matches the Rfam family "Bacterial small subunit ribosomal RNA", at positions 355 to 776 of the family's 1533-position model. Lineage: Bacteria; Pseudomonadati; Verrucomicrobiota. The record is from RNAcentral.
UGAGGAAUAUUGGUCAAUGGGCGAGAGCCUGAACCAGCCAAGUAGCGUGCAGGAUGACGGCCCUAUGGGUUGUAAACUGCUUUUAUAUGGGAAUAAAGUGAGGGACGUGUCCCUUAUUGCAUGUACCAUACGAAUAAGGACCGGCUAAUUCCGUGCCAGCAGCCGCGGUAAUACGGAAGGUCCAGGCGUUAUCCGGAUUUAUUGGGUUUAAAGGGCAUCUAGGCGGUAAGACAAGUUGAAGGUGAAAACCUGUGGCUCAACCAUAGGCUUGCCUACAAAACUGUUGAACUAGAGUACUGGAAAGGUGGGUGGAACUACACGAGUAGAGGUGAAAUUCGUAGAUAUGUGUAGGAAUGCCGAUGAUGAAGAUAACUCACUGGACAGAAACUGACGCUGAAGUGCGAAAGCUAGGGGAGCAAACAGG